RNAcentral lists this ribosomal RNA (499 nucleotides) under Anabaena oscillarioides 0RO34S1. RNAcentral describes it as "bacterial SSU rRNA". It matches the Rfam family "Bacterial small subunit ribosomal RNA", at positions 199 to 715 of the family's 1533-position model. The record is from RNAcentral. Lineage: Bacteria; Bacillati; Cyanobacteriota; Cyanophyceae; Nostocales; Nostocaceae.
GGUGAAAGGCUUGCUGCCUGAAGAUAAGCUCGCGUCUGAUUAGCUAGUUGGUGGGGUAAGAGCCUACCAAGGCGACGAUCAGUAGCUGGUCUGAGAGGAUGAUCAGCCACACUGGGACUGAGACACGGCCCAGACUCCUACGGGAGGCAGCAGUGGGGAAUUUUCCGCAAUGGGCGAAAGCCUGACGGAGCAAUACCGCGUGAGGGAGGAAGGCUCUUGGGUCGUAAACCUCUUUUCUCAGGGAAGAAAAAAAUGACGGUACCUGAGGAAUAAGCAUCGGCUAACUCCGUGCCAGCAGCCGCGGUAAUACGGAGGAUGCAAGCGUUAUCCGGAAUGAUUGGGCGUAAAGGGUCCGCAGGUGGUACUGUAAGUCUGCUGUUAAAGAGCAAGGCUCAACCUUGUAAAAGCGGUGGAAACUACAGAACUAGAGUGCGUUCGGGGCAGAAGGAAUUCCUGGUGUAGCGGUGAAAUGCGUAGAUAUCAGGAAGAACACCGGUGG